UUAAGUCCGCAACGAGCGCAACCCUUGCCAUUAGUUGCUACGAAAGGGCACUCUAAUGGGGACUGCCCGGUGGACAAAACCGGAGGAAGGUGGGGAUGACGUCAAGUCCUCAUGGCCCUUAUGGGUAGGGCUACACACGUCAUACAAUGGCCGGUACAGAGGGCUGCCAACCCGCGAGGGGGGAGCCAAUCCCUACAAAACCGGUCGUAGUCCGGAUUGCAGUCUGCAACUCGACUGCAUGAAGUCGGAAUCGCUAGUAAUCGCGGAUCAGCAUGCCGCGGUGAAUACGUUCCCGGGUCUU
This 301-nucleotide ribosomal RNA is filed under the name uncultured Tepidimonas sp. RNAcentral describes it as "bacterial SSU rRNA". It matches the Rfam family "Bacterial small subunit ribosomal RNA", at positions 1080 to 1382 of the family's 1533-position model. The record is from RNAcentral. Lineage: Bacteria; Pseudomonadati; Pseudomonadota; Betaproteobacteria; Burkholderiales.